UACGAAGGGGGCUAGCGUUGUUCGGAAUUACUGGGCGUAAAGCGCACGUAGGCGGAUUGUUAAGUCAGAGGUGAAAUCCCGGAGCUCAACUUCGGAACUGCCUUUGAUACUGGCAAUCUCGAGUCCGGAAGAGGUUAGUGGAAUUCCCAGUGUAGAGGUGAAAUUCGUAGAUAUUGGGAAGAACACCAGUGGCGAAGGCGGCUAACUGGUCCGGUACUGACGCUGAGACGCGAAAGCGUGGGGAGCGAACAGG
Molecule: ribosomal RNA, 253 nt
Filed under: uncultured bacterium
Lineage: Bacteria
Description: partial 16S ribosomal RNA
Rfam family: Bacterial small subunit ribosomal RNA
Source: RNAcentral